AAUCAACGCUGGCGGCGUGCCUAACACAUGCAAGUCGCACGAGAAAGUGGAGCAAUCCAUGAGUACAGUGGCGCACGGGUGAGUAACACGUGAAUAAUCUACCUCCGAGUGGGGAAUAACCUAGAGAAAUCUGGGCUAAUACCGCAUAACACUUACGAGUCAAAGCAGCAAUGCGCUUGGAGAGGAGUUCGCGGCCGAUUAGCUAGUUGGCGGGGUAGU
This 219-nucleotide ribosomal RNA is filed under the name uncultured bacterium. RNAcentral's name for it is "partial 16S ribosomal RNA". It matches the Rfam family "Bacterial small subunit ribosomal RNA", at positions 32 to 261 of the family's 1533-position model. The record is from RNAcentral.